AGAGUUUGAUCCUGGCUCAGAACGAACGUUAGCGGCGCGCCUAACACAUGCAAGUCGAGCGAGAAAGGGCUUCGGCCCCGGUACAGCGGCGCACGGGUGAGUAACACGUAGGUAAUCUACCCCUGAAUGGUGGAUAACCCUCCGAAAGGAGGGCUAAUACAGCAUAAGACCACGGCUUCUUCGGAGGCUGAGGCCAAAGCGGGCCUCUUAACUAAAGCUCGCGUUUGGGGAUGAGCCUGCGGCCCAUCAGCUAGUUGGCGGUGUAAUGGACCACCAAGGCUAAGACGGGUAGCUGGUCUGAGAGGAUGAACAGCCACACUGGAACUGAGACACGGUCCAGACUCCUACGGGAGGCAGCAGUGGGGAAUCUUGCGCAAUGGGCGAAAGCCUGACGCAGCGACGCCGCGUGAGUGAUGAAGGCCUUCGGGUUGUAAAGCUCUGUGGGGAGAGACGAAUAAGUUCCACCUAAUACGUGGAGCGAUGACGGUAUCUCCUUAGCAAGCACCGGCUAACUCUGUGCCAGCAGCCGCGGUAAUUC
RNAcentral lists this ribosomal RNA (538 nucleotides) under uncultured bacterium. Its description in RNAcentral is "bacterial SSU rRNA". It matches the Rfam family "Bacterial small subunit ribosomal RNA", at positions 8 to 526 of the family's 1533-position model. The record is from RNAcentral.